GAUGAACGCUGGCGGCGUGCUUAACACAUGCAAGUCGAACGAUGAUGCCCAGCUUGCUGGGUGGAUUAGUGGCGAACGGGUGAGUAACACGUGAGUAACCUGCCCUUGACUCUGGGAUAAGCCUGGGAAACUGGGUCUAAUACCGGAUACGACCAUCUGGCGCAUGUCAUGGUGGUGGAAAGCUUUUGUGGUUUUGGAUGGACUCGCGGCCUAUCAGCUUGUUGGUGGGGUAAUGGCCUACCAAGGCGACGACGGGUAGCCGGCCUGAGAGGGUGACCGGCCACACUGGGACUGAGACACGGCCCAGACUCCUACGGGAGGCAGCAGUGGGGAAUAUUGCACAAUGGGCGCAAGCCUGAUGCAGCGACGCCGCGUGAGGGAUGACGGCCUUCGGGUUGUAAACCUCUUUCAGUAGGGACGAAGCGAAAGUGACGGUACCUGCAGAAGAAGCGCCGGCUAACUACGUG
This 467-nucleotide ribosomal RNA is filed under the name uncultured bacterium. RNAcentral's name for it is "partial 16S ribosomal RNA". It matches the Rfam family "Bacterial small subunit ribosomal RNA", at positions 28 to 507 of the family's 1533-position model. The record is from RNAcentral.